RNAcentral lists this unclassified non-coding RNA (6124 nucleotides) under Homo sapiens (human). RNAcentral's name for it is "olfactory receptor family 4 subfamily K member 2 (ENSG00000291804.1)". Lineage: Eukaryota; Metazoa; Chordata; Mammalia; Primates; Hominidae. The record is from RNAcentral.
GUCCCUACAACAUCCAUUUUAUCCACAGCUGAUACACAACUAAUGAUUCAACUAGGUCAUUUAUUUAUAUUUUAAAUUGCCUUCGAUGCUCUGUCAGAAGCCUACUUAACACUGAAUAAUCUAAAGCCCUGGUUCUUCUAUAGAUCUGAUAAGUAAAAGUGUUUUACAAAUGAGUUCUACUGAAAUAUUUUAAAUGUUUGCCCUUCCCACUCCCAUUUCCUAAUCCCUAUUCCAUGAAGCUUAGGUCAAUACAACAGUUUACAUAUGUUAACAUUUACAGAAGAAGAAUUCAAACAGAGGUGAAAUGAAAGAGACUGAUCUUUGAGCACUUUCCCAUGAAAAUGUUGUUAUAUAUCCUUUGUGAUAUAAAAUUUUAAAUCAUAGAAUUAUAAAUAUUUAUAAGGAACACAGUCAUAUUUUAAUUAAAAAGAAAGGACCAAAAGAAGUUAAAUGCCUUUCCUUUGUCUGUAUGACUGUAUUGUAAUAAAUUAGUCUCUCUGGAUGAAUAUCAGCAAAACUAACUUUCUAUGUAUUUCUUUUGAGUUUCAAACAGGAAACUUUAUCUGGGAAUACUUUAACAGUUCAUCUCUGGAAAUUUACAAGAGCUCUACAACUGUCCAUCGAAACUUCACUAUAAUGUGCUUAAGAGCCCUUAUAUGUGAUAUAAUUUUUAUAUGUUUUCAUCAGUAAGGAUAUCUUUAUGGACAAAUUCCAAAUGACUAAACAUGUAUGUGUAUGUGUGUUUCACACAUUGUCAGCAUAAAGUAAGUUCUUACUGUUAUCGUUAGACUUACACAGAUGAAUAGAUGGACAAAUAGGUAGGUAUGUCUGUUCAGAAUGAUAUUAUCUUGGUUGGAUUGCCAUUAGUAUCAGAAAAGAAAGUGUUCUUUUCAAUACCUAUGAUUUAAGGAACAUUUUGCUAUAAGCUCUAAUAUUUCAUAAUUUCCAUUCAAAACAAUAUACCAAAUGAGAAGGAUGGAAAGAAUAGUCAAGGCUUCUGCCUAUGAAUCAAGACAAUGGAUGUGGGCAAUAAGUCUACCAUGUCUGAAUUUGUUUUGCUGGGGCUCUCUAAUUCCUGGGAACUACAGAUGUUUUUCUUUAUGGUGUUUUCAUUGCUUUAUGUGGCAACAAUGGGAAUAUUUUCAAAACUGUGCUGCUUUUUGCAAUAUAAAACUGUGGAAUCUUUUGGAAGAGACGCUAUUGAUUUUCUGUGCUUUUGUGGAGAAUUCUAAAACUCAAGAACAUUUGCCAAAAUACCCUCAAAGGUGUAGCUGAUCAGCAGACAACUCUAUAAGGCAAGUCAAUAAUGAGAUUAAGUAGUUGGAUUGAUAGUAAAAUUCUGUGGCUGAUAAUAAAAAGGAUUACAGAAAGCCUUUGGAGGGCUUACAUAUAUAAAUGGAACUAUCACAUUUCUCGGUGGCUUAGUGUGAGGAGUCAAUAUUCAUGGUACCUCUGCAUGUUAUAUAAACACUUAAAAAUCUUAGUUAGGACUUUAGGACUCAUGGUGGUUGGUUUUAUCGAUAUAUCUCUUAGACAAGAUGCUGACACUCUUUCACCAAGGAUAACUGCAGUGACAUGGCCAUGGACUCGUUAAGCAAUAGUAAGGAUGGUGCCAGCUGCCACCAGAGUUUCCAGAGACAGAGAUAAUGUUCUGCAGAGAAUACAAGAUAAGCAGGCAAGUAUAAUUUUAAGUGAUCUGCACUAUCUGCAAUAACACAACUGAGGGAGUUCUGGAGCAUUUAUAAGAAGAGUGUGUUGACAAGCAACUUCAUCUUCCUCUACGUGUUUAGGAAGCUGUGAAGCUUGACAACAAUUGAAUGCAGAUGGAAAAACUGUUAAAAAUCAGGUAUAGAUAAAAACAGAUAAAGUGUAAAUUUUAAUAUGUGAAGGAACUGGAUAUAUGUAAUAGCAAUAAAAACUACAAAUUAUGUUUGUUUCUAAAAAUGCUUAAGAAAACUUUUAGAAUACUAUAUGGUAUAAUGAUGGUGGAUUUACCAUAAAGCUUGUAAAGCUUAGGUUUUAUAACUCCUCCUUUGCAUGGAUUUCCUCGAAGGCCCUAGAAUGGAAACUAACAACCUUUUAUUAGUUAUUUCGAUUUUUUUUUCCUGAAACAGGUGUCCUCAAACUGUAUAAGCUUUAAGCCUAGCUUGUCCAACCCAUGACCUGCAGGUUGCAUGCGGCUCAGGAGAUGGCUUUAAAUUCAGCCCAACACAAAUUCAUAAGCUUUCUUGAAACAUUAUAAGAUUUUCUUGUGAUUUUUUUGUAAAGCUCAUCAGCUAUCUUUAGUAUCAGUGUAUUUUAUGUGUGGCCCAACACAAUUCUUCUUCCAAUGUGGCCCAGAGAAGCCAAAACUUUGGACACCCCUGCAUUAAAAGGCUCUGCAGAAUCUGAAGUCUAAUGUGUAGUUUUAAAAGUCUUAGACUCUGGUAUCUUUUUUUUUUUUAAACAGUGUUUAAUACUACUUCUACUACUAGUGGUGUAAACUUAAGCUAAGUACUUAAUACCUCUUAGCCUCAGUUUCUACAUAUGUUAAAGGAGAUAAUAGUGGUCUCUACACCACAGAGUUAUUUGAGGCAUAAAAGAAGCAAAUAAUAUGAAGCAUAUGGUUGUCAAUAAAUGUUAGUCAUUGUAUCAUUCUGGGUGAUAACCUCUGGAUAUCUUUGUUUAUGGGACUUGAUAGUCUCUUGAGCUAACACUUGACUUGUUUAAUUUAAAAGGUAAAUUUUCAUUUAUAUGUUUUAAAUAUUCAUGUCUGUAUAUGUGUGUCAGUAUUAAUUUGAAAAAUUAAAAGUAACUUCCACUAGAAAAUUACACUGGUUCUUACAUUAAUUAAAGCUUCUGGAAACUUGUUUUUCUGUCUGUUCACAACUGUCAUUAAUCAAGAGAAGUAUCAAGUUGUUGCUUAAUCAUUAUGCUAUUGCUUCUUUACAAUGAAUAAAUAUUAAAUUGGUUUAUUGAUUUUAGGAUGAAUUCACAUUACAAUUGUUGUCAGAAUAAGAAUGAUGUUUGACUCAUAUUAUUAAGGUGAAGAGAUAGGCAGAUGGAUAGAUUAGUAGAUAGAUGAAGUUUUGUAUUAUAUGAGCUGUCUUAUGUGAAGUAUUUUUCUGCAUUGAUAAGGGUUUAGGAUAAUGUGAUCACUGGAUUAUGCUGCUAUAUAGAAGUUCUUGGUAAAAUGCUGUUAUUUGUGCAUAUCCAGACUCCUUAUGAAAGUAUUUUCAAAUUUAAAAAACUACCAGUGAAUCUAUUCUCUACAUGUGAGUUUUUAAACAACUCAGUUAUAGCAAAAUUUGUUGAGAGAGUUGGAGUAAUCCUCCUAUUUCCCUAUUCUUUCCCUGAUAUUAUUUUGCAUGAUUUUUGGAUGUAUAUGUCAAUUGAAAAACGGGGAGAAGAAAACAGCCAGGGAAAUCUAAUUCAUGUGAACUUCUUGCAUGUACUCUCAGAUGCCAAUGAAAUCCGCUAAGCAACUUGAUAGUUUUUUGGUUUAUAAGUUUCUGUUGUGCUUUGUUGUUUGGAAUUAUUUUUAAUGCUCUUGGUUACACCAUGAGGUAAAUAUGCACAAAUUAUUCUGGAGCGUGUAGGACCAACACUCAAAUGAGACUGGAAAUGUGACUGGGAUCAUUGAUUCAUGUAUUCUGUCUCUAUUGUUGCUAAUAUAACUCAAUUGACAUGUUAUUUUUUCUCUUUGAUUUUUGUAAAACAAACAAAUAAAUUCCAAUAUCUAGUAUGCACUAAAAUACUAUAGUUUCAUUUUUAUUUUUUACUCUGAUAAUUUACACUGCCAAUAUAAGGAGAUGAAUACCUAUUUUUUAAAUUAAAAAAUGUUCUCGGGCUGGAGGCUCCAGGUUUUUUUCCCCCAUUAGCCUUUUUAUGACUACUAAAUGCAAGACCACUGUUAAUUCGCCUUUUUUCUUUGUGUUUUAACUGUACUAGGAAUCUGAAGCCAUCAACAAAAGCCAGAUUUUUCUCCCUUUGCUCACUUGCCACCUGUUAAAGAAAAUUUAAAGGAGAGAUUUUUUUUUUUAGUUUGAGACUAGAAAUAGCAAUUUAAUUAGUAAUUUGUUUUUAUAUAAUAAUAUAUUUAUAUCAAUUUUUUCUUCUUGUUUGAGUGUACUUAUAUUGGUUGUCCUACAGUUAAGAAAACGGAAACCAUUGGGUAAAUUAAGCAGAUUUAAUACAAUGUAUUAAAUGCUUGUGAAUAAUUCAAAGACUUACAGGAACAUGCAUUGGAGGCUGCAACUGGAGCUAUUGUGUUCCAGAGCACAUUACCCCAGUAAUGUGAUGUAAGGGCAAAAGGCAAAAAGCCUUGGUGUCAUUGCCACUCCUUCAUCACCCUCAGCACUCUUGAAGGUGGUGAAUAGUCACUGGACACAGGUAUGGCUGCCACAGUUGCUUUCCCUCACAUCUCAUCAUCAUCUUGCUCACCAGCGGCAAUUAUAUCAGUAGAUCCCUCUGCCUCACUUGUGCUUUCUAAAGCUCAUUUGGUGCAUCUAAUUGGUGGAAUCUAUUUUGCACAGAGAAACUUGGCUUCAAAAAUCAAUUUGUAGAUUUCAAGAUUCUUAUGCAACAGAAAACAUGCUAAUAGAGGGUGGAUUGGAGGGAGACUCCGUCAAUCAAUCAAUAUCCAUUACUUUAAUUUUUUUAUUAUAACCUUUUUAUUGCAGUGUAAAAGCAAGGUAAAGAAAAAUACACAAACAUGUUUAGCUUAAUGAAAUAUUACAAGGCAAACACCAUUAUAAUCACAUUUCAAGUCACAAAAUAGAACUUCGCCAGCCACCCCUGAAGUCCUCAAGUUUGUUCAUCUCGAUGACAACUCUCUCCUCCAAAAUUAACCAUUACCCUGACUUAAUAAAUUAUUUGCAUUUCUUUUCAGUUUCAUGAAUACAUAUAUACUCAAAUAUACAUCCAUACACACUCAAACUUGGCCUCACCAACUUUGUUUCCUUUUCUUGUAGCCUACAAGUCUCACUAUCACUAUCUCUUCAAUUUCUGUAUAAUUUAUCUUUCUUUUUCUUUUUUUUUUCUUUUUUUUUUUUUUUUGAGACGGAGUCUUGCUCUGUCGCCCAGGCUGGAGUGCAGUAGCGUGAUCUCCGCUCAUUGCAAACUCUGCCUUCCGGAUUCACGCCAUUCUCCUGCCUCAGCCUCCUGAGUAGCUGGGACUACAGGCGCCCGCCACCACGCCCAGCUAAUUUUUUGUAUUUUUAGUAGAGAAGGGGUUAUAAUUUAUCUUUUGAAAAACCUGAGUUAUUUACCAUCUAGGGUCUCCCAGAGUCUGAAAUAUGCUGAUUGCAUGCUCAUGGUACAGUUCAACAUGGACUUCUGUCACUGCAUUUUCUGCAAAUUGCCUAUCCAGCAGCUUAAUCAUAUUUAGUUUGAUACUUUUUGCAAGACAAAUGACAGAUGAUGUUAUAUUUUUUCAUCCAAAAGAUCUUGAUGUCUUGCUUUAUCUCUUUGGGAAUGAUAGUGCUGUUGUUGCUGUAGUAGUUGAUAUCUCUAACCAUUUUUGUUGGCUGAAGCUUAUUCUCUACUAUAUUCCUCAGGAAGUCUUCUUGAAGACCCUAUUCUCUGAAUUCUGGCGUGUUGGCAAGUUUCUUUGAAACAUUUAUGUACUGUAAUUUCAUUGGCUAUUCCUUUAUUUUCUUGAUUAUCUUAAAUUGAAAUAAUGACUCUCUUUGUAAGCACUUUGUCUGGAGUCUGCAAAGCCUGUAUUUUUCUUCACUCACCCUAGCAUACCAUAUAAUUAGAAGUUUGGAACUGAUCUUUUAAUUUUUGGAGGGAGGUAUUAAUAAUCCUUCUGAUAUUUAUAUUAGUAGUUAAAUAAUUAAAUAGUAGUUAAAGUAAUUAAAUAGGACUCUAUUGCACUCAAGAGAUUUUAAAACGUUUAAAUUUCUAAAUUUCCUUUAAGUAUAUUAAAAUGUACCUAAAUAAAAUUGUUCUUCAAGAGUAACAUGUAAUUGAAUCAUCAACAUCUUUAUAUAACUUUUCCAAUUUUUUAAAGAAAGAUACCUCUCUUGCAGCUCAAUUGCUUUUUAAAUAAAAUAAAUUUGAAUCCCUGUUUGUACCUGGAGACCGUUUUGAUCUGCCCUCCUCACCUCACAUUUCACACAUGGAGAAAAAAAGUCUGCAC